This is a non-coding RNA of Taeniopygia guttata (zebra finch), 356 nucleotides long. The record is from RefSeq and is a predicted model, not a curated record. NCBI's taxonomy places the organism in Eukaryota, Metazoa, Chordata, Aves, Passeriformes, Estrildidae.
GUCAUGUCCCAGUGACUCACUCAUGGAUCCUCCAGGGCUAUAAAAAUCAUAUCCAAAUUCAUCACACCUCAUCAAAGACUGCUGUACAAUGAUUUGUAGAAAACAUUUUUCCAAGCUCCUGGGAGACAGCACUACCAACUUCCAGAUCAAGGUCAGGUGUCCCUGCCAGACCGAUGGAAGCUCCUGACAGUACAAUCAAAGUAGCCUUUCACUUCUUGGAAAUAGCUGACAUGUGAGUUGGAAUAAACCCAUAAUCCCACAAGACAAAAUCUCAUCCCAGGCUGUGACUGAUGGAGAGCUGAAGCAACUCGGACUUUCACCUUGACUAAGCUUUGGAAUAAAGUUAUAGGAGCAAU